Cornus florida is the source of this 4825-nucleotide long non-coding RNA. RefSeq lists it as uncharacterized. Lineage: Eukaryota; Viridiplantae; Streptophyta; Magnoliopsida; Cornales; Cornaceae. The transcript has 6 exons. The record is from RefSeq and is a predicted model, not a curated record.
UGAGCCUACAUUUUAAUGGCCCAAAACAUGAUAUAAUUAAUAUAAAUUCGUCCAAAAUAUAACCAUAUUAAAUGGCCCAUUACGGUGGCUACUAAAUGUAACCGCUGGAGAACCAAACGAACUGUUGGGUAACAGUUAUACCAGUCCGGUGGCCGUGGUGGUGGUCGGAGGAAAGAAACUGGGAGCUCCCAGUACUGAAUUAACCUUCUGUUGUGAUUGCAGCGUCUCUCAAUUGCAUUGAUAGAAGCUUCUGUUCAACAACACUUCAAAUUUGAUGAAGGACCUUUGAUUGUGUGUGGAUGGUUUCUCUGAGAAGAGCCAAAAAUGAUAGACAGGCGCUCUGAAUGCAAGCUUGGAUGUGAAGUGUGUUGCCUUCGAUUUCCAGUGAAAAGAGAGGUUCAAUUGACAACUGAGUUCCAAUUCAUUGGGGAGCAGUAAGAUCCACAAAGUGUUUGUAAAAAUGACCAAAUGAGCUGAGAGAAUUCACAAGGAUAAAAUUUGGGAAAGACCAAGAUGUACCAGUCAUGAAUUGUUCAACCUUUGCAAAUCUAUCAACUAGAGAAGAAUCGGUUACAACAGACCUAUACCUGUGACGCAGAGGACCCAGUUGGCUCCAGUUGUCAUACCAAAAAGGAAGUAAGAGAAAAAGAAAUGAAAAAUGUGGAAUCUUGUGGAGUUUGGGCUAAAUUGGCCAUUAAUCUUCUCCUUCUCAGUGACGGUUACAGUAAUGGUAUCUUCAUUCGUUCUGUCUGCAACUUGCUAAUGUCCUUGGAAUAUUGACUGAUACUUUGGAUACUUGGUUUUUUCUUUGUGUGGGUCACGCUCAAUCAAUUUCGCUUGAUUAGGAAUCUUGCCGAUGUUAAAGUUCUAUCUGAAUGGGGGAUCCUCUUCUUGGUCUUCAUCAGUACCAGGCAUAGAGUUAGUUCGUGCAGAGCAGAGGCCAGUCAUCAUUACUCUUCCGGUGUCAUCAACGUAGGAUCCUUUUUCAUGCAUUUAAUAUAGACUCACACAUUUAUUAUUUAUUUUAUUUUAUUGAGUUGGAUAGUUUUUAGGGGUCCGUGUUAUUCGGAUUCCUGAGUUGUACUUUGGAGGUUUAUUUAUUAUUAUGGAUAUUUGAUUUAUAUUAGAGUUAUUAAAAGGAUCUUUAUUAUAUAGUUUUCCUUUCAGCGAUAUUAUUUCUUUUCUUAUUUAUUUUUUUUGUAUUAUGUGUUCGUUUUAAAUAUUAAUUGUUUGAUAUCCCCUGGUUUUUGGUGCGGACUUGAUUAACCCGUGUCUCCGAGAUUAGGGGUAUCACAAGUACCAAAUUGACUUUGUCCAAAAGCUUCGCCCAAACCGCCUUCUUUGUGUUCUUCGUCUGCCACAGGCUUUCACCGCCAGAAUCCUUCACCGUUAAUUGGUCGUUAAUGGUGAUCUCCGCUUUCGCUGACACUAAAAUUUUCACCGGAGUUUUGUGGUUUACUACCCAAAUGUAGGUCAGUGUAAGGAUCGUUGUUUGGACUUAGCGACGUUGUCUAAAUCAACAUAUAAUGUUGUUUGGACUCAGCGACGUUGUCGAUGGUAACGAGACUUGAGAAGGACCAUCUCAUCGUCGUACCCAAAUUAUGCAUCACCUCGAUAAGCCGUUAAAGCCACUGCCGAGCACCCACCACUGAGAACAAAACACUCGCCACCAUUAUUCAUAACGCGUAAAGCCCUAACCACAGCAAAACUGUGGAGUGCUUGGGCUUUGCACCAUCGAUCUGGAACCGGAGGCGUUGGAGUCGAGAUUAUGGCCAUUCGAUCGUAGGGUUGUGAUCACGUUUUUGAGUUCAAUGGCCGAAAUUGUUUCUCCAUUGGCGAACAAUCAAAGCCAAAUUUAAUUUGUAAUUUUUUUUAGUAUAUAUGAAAAAUUAUAUAUCAUGCCCCUCCUAAAUUUUUAAUUUCUAAAAUUAUCUUAACUUUUUAUUUCUUUUGUUCUUUAAAUUUUGUAAAUUUCUUUAAAAGAAAGUCAAUUUCAAUCAUACUCUAAUUUUUUUCCUUUCAAAUAUAUCUCAUUUUUCUUUCCUUUUUUUUUUUUUUCUCUUAAAAUUCUUCUUUUUGUGUGUUAUAUCAAUGUUAGUUGAAUUUUUUUUUUUUUUUUUUUUCAAACUGUGCCCCCUCUGAAUUAAAAUCCUAGCUUCGCCCCUGCGUAUAACCGCACACACCGACACACAUAGGAGGAGUAGAGGCAAGCAUAGGGUGAGGAAAAGGAAUCGUGUGAUUCCUUAGCAUAGGCGAGUAUGGUGGGUGGAGAAAAUUUAGUUGGAGGUGGUGAAUUUUGGUUGGAUUGGUGGUUGUGGUGGGUUGGAUCGGUGAGUGGAGGACGGUGACGCUUAGAAGAGGGGGUUAGGUAGUGGGUUUGAGUAAUGGUGGAUGAAGGGUAUUUUUGUCAAUUAACAUAGCUGAUAUUUUGUGAAUAAACCAAAUUAAAUAAUCAGGGGCAAAUAUGACAUUUAAAACCUCAAGGGUGUCAAUGUCUAAAAAAUCGUUGACCAGGAUCUAAGUGUCAUUAAAUGAAACACCAAGAGGGUGUCAGUGCAAUUUACCCUUUAAAAAAACCUUUGGCCUUUUGAUUUUUAACAUCUUCCUUUUUAAUUACCCAAAAAAAAAAAAAAACACACAAAUCUAUAAGCGUUUUCUAGUUUAGUUUUUGUAUGCGAGAAUAAAAACCUAAAACUGGCACAUUUUAAUUGGCCAACAUGAGCAUAUUACAUGGCCCAAAACAUGACAGAAACAAUAUAAAUUGGUCCAAAUAUGACCCAUAUUAAAUGGCCCAUUAGAGUGGCUACUAAAAAGUAAGCGUUGAAGAACCAAAGUAACUGUUUUUUGGUAACAGUUAUACCAGUCCGGUGGCCGUAGACCAUGGUGGUGGUCGGAGGCAAGAAACUGGAAGCUCCUAGUCCUGAACUAACCUUGUGUUGAUUGCAGUGUCUCUCAAUUGCAUUGAUAGAAGAUUCUCUCUAACAACACUUCGAAUUUGAUGAAGACCUUUGAUUGUGUGGAUGAUUUCUCUGAGAAGAGCGAGAUAUGAUAGACAGAGGCUCUGAAUGCAAGCUUGGAUAUGAAGUGUGUUGCCUUCGAUUUCCGGUGAAAAGGGAGGGGUCAAUUGACAAGUGAGUUCCAAUUCAUUGUGGAGCAGUAAGAUCCACAACGUGUUUGUAAAAAUGACCAAAUGAGCUGAGAGAAUUCACAAGCAAAUAAUAGGUGGUUGUGGUUUUCAGGGAGGGGUUCACAGAGGGGUGAAAUGUUGCUUUAUCUGAGAAAGGCCUUGGAUUUUUUUUUAAUCAAGGGUGGGGAGACUGUUGUGAACAGCAAUAGUUGGUGAGCUCCAAACAAGGUGGUUCCAAUUGACGGAAGGGGCGAUGGCUAGAAAAUAUGGAAUUGUGUAUGUUGAGUGAGUAAGUUCCUGUUGGUGAUGGGAUCCAAUAAUGGAGUCAUCAAUGGUGGAAUCAGGGAGUGGAUUGGUUGGUAGUGAUGGGAUAAGAUUGAGGAUAGAUGGUGGGAAGACCAAGAUGUACCAGUCAUGAAUUGUUCAACCUUUGCAAAUCUAUCAACUAGAGAUGAAUCGAUUACGGCUAUACCUGUGAUGCAGAGGACCAGUUGGCUCCAAUUGUCAUACCAAAAGUGAGUAUUCUUUCCAUUGCCUACUUUAUGCUUGAUUAGUUUAGAAUUGAAAAUGUAUUAACUAGAGUAGAAUCAAUUACAGCAGACCUAUGAACUAGGAAUUGAGGCCUUUUUGCAGAAAUGAAACUGUAAGUAUGCACAUUUUACUAUAAGCAUUCAAAGAAGAGAUGGUUUCUAUCUUCUACCCUUUCCCUACAAAGAACAACUCUGACCCUUGUAUUAAAUUCCAUUUUAAUCAUUCUCUGUAGGGCAAGUAAUUUGUCUUGAAUACCUAACCAAAGGAAGAAGGAAUGCUCGUGGACAUUGGGAUGAAAUCAAAAAAAUCAUACCAAUGGACUCUGUUUUUGUUAUUCCGGGAUUGAAUUCUGGCUGUGAUUUUAUUAACCAACUCAAUAUAUUCCUGCUCUCUAAGUCUACCAAAUUAAUAGGAACACUAAGUAUUGCUAGAAUCACAUGAUAAGUUGCUGAAACAAUUUAAGAAAUUGAGUUCCACUGAUAUGCUAGAUAUUGGUUGAUGUUCAGUCUGUAUUAAGAAAUUUGUUAUCUUUAUUGGUUUCUUCAUUUGUUGCAUGACUGAAAGCACAUAAUUAUCCGGGAAGAAUGAUGACACCAAACGACUAAAGAUGAAAGAGUAUGACAAGUUCUUUUGUGAGGGAGUCUACAAUUGUGCAGAAUGCGGACCCAAAUGGAAUGAUGAUUGAAAUUACAUGUGCAGCUUGUGGUGGACAUCUAGGUCAUGUAUUAAAGGUGAAGGGUUCCCUACUCCAAUGGAUGAAUGUCAUUGUGUUAAUAGUAUUUCACUCAAGUUUCUUCGUGCAGAAUCUUCUCCUCAGUAAUGGUAUCUCCAUUCUCUCUGUCUAGAACUUGGUAACGUCCUUGGAAUAUAGACCUGUACUUCGGGUUUGCGGGUAUAGGUUGAAUUCUAGGGUUUUCACCUUGCUGGUGUAGAUUACAGUAGAAUUUUGUGUAUGUUCAUUCUUUAAUGCCUCUGAGUUCCUUCUUUAAUGCCUCCGAGUGCAGCUUAUGCCUACCACCAACCUUAUGAAUAUUUGAUCUUCAACUUUUUGAACACUUACUCUCCAAAUUCACCUUUUUUGACCAAAAAAUUAAACAUAAGAAAAUGACAGUGAACACAUUGGCAUGUACUUAAGAAGUCCAUCAAGAUUAAUGGCAACUAAUUAGC